GCGCCCGUAGCUCAGCUGGAUAGAGCGCAGGAUUGCGGUUCCUGAGGUCAGAGGUUCAACUCCUCUCGGGCGCACCA
RNAcentral lists this transfer RNA (77 nucleotides) under bacterium. Its description in RNAcentral is "tRNA-Arg". It matches the Rfam family "tRNA". From Rfam's summary of the family: Transfer RNA (tRNA) molecules are approximately 80 nucleotides in length. Their secondary structure includes four short double-helical elements and three loops (D, anti-codon, and T loops). The record is from RNAcentral.